Molecule: transfer RNA, 89 nt
Filed under: Thermus sp.
Lineage: Bacteria; Thermotogati; Deinococcota; Deinococci; Thermales; Thermaceae
Also listed under: 1 other name
Description: tRNA-Leu
Rfam family: tRNA
About the family: Transfer RNA (tRNA) molecules are approximately 80 nucleotides in length. Their secondary structure includes four short double-helical elements and three loops (D, anti-codon, and T loops). Further hydrogen bonds mediate the characteristic L-shaped molecular structure. tRNAs have two regions of fundamental functional importance: the anti-codon, which is responsible for specific mRNA codon recognition, and the 3' end, to which the tRNAs corresponding amino acid is attached (by aminoacyl-tRNA synthetases). tRNAs cope with the degeneracy of the genetic code in two manners: having more than one tRNA (with a specific anti-codon) for a particular amino acid; and 'wobble' base-pairing, i.e. permitting non-standard base-pairing at the 3rd anti-codon position.
Source: RNAcentral
GCCGGGGUGGCGGAACGGUAGACGCUGCGGACUUAAAAUCCGCUGGGGGGUAAUCCCCCGUACGGGUUCGAGUCCCGUCCCCGGCACCA